RNAcentral lists this long non-coding RNA (407 nucleotides) under Olea europaea (common olive). RNAcentral's name for it is "long non-coding RNA (OEUR_LNC001114)". The record is from RNAcentral. Lineage: Eukaryota; Viridiplantae; Streptophyta; Magnoliopsida; Lamiales; Oleaceae.
UUGGCCAUUAAGUAUUUAAGUCUUGCUGUUUUUCACCCAAAAUGCAAAACCAAGUAAACCAAGCAAAAAUUGUAAAAUUCAGUAAUUGAAAAAGGGCUCUAUUUAUUACAAUUACAACUUACAAGCUGACAGUGGAGACUGUGGAGUGCGGUGUCGCUGGUGUGGCCUGUGGUCUGUGGAGUACGGACUGUGCGGUGUGGCCUGUGCGGAGCGGACGGCGGAGUCGGGCGGACCUGCAGGCUGCGGAGGCGAGCAGCAAAGCCGGCGACAGAGGCAGAAGCAAAAGCCAGAAGAAGGGCCAACCGGCCAACCGCCAACGCAGAUUCGUGGUGGACAGUGGACAGUGGACUCACCUCACGUCACUCACCGUCUCACAGGACUGUGUCACUGCUCACUGUCACUGUGGA